UACGGGGGGUGCAAGCGUUAAUCGGAAUCACUGGGCGUAAAGGGUGCGUAGGCGGUACGUUAGGUCUGUCGUGAAAUCCCCGGGCUCAACCUGGGAAUGGCGGUGGAAACCGGUGUACUAGAGUCUGUCAGAGGGGGGUAGAAUUCCACGUGUAGCAGUGAAAUGCGUAGAGAUGUGGAGGAAUACCAAUGGCGAAGGCGGCCACCUGGCCCAAUACUGACGCUGAGGCACGAAAGCGUGGGGAGCAAACAGG
RNAcentral lists this ribosomal RNA (253 nucleotides) under uncultured Acidithiobacillus sp. RNAcentral describes it as "partial 16S ribosomal RNA". It matches the Rfam family "Bacterial small subunit ribosomal RNA", at positions 524 to 776 of the family's 1533-position model. Lineage: Bacteria; Pseudomonadati; Pseudomonadota; Acidithiobacillia; Acidithiobacillales; Acidithiobacillaceae. The record is from RNAcentral.